ACCCCUAAUUUUUCCCCCUCUUCUUCGUGGUCUAUGAGGAUUUCGCUUCUUCACCCUUUUCAAACUCAUUUCUUUCUCCUUUCGUUCUUUUUCUCGGAUCUUCUUUCUCCCUCUCUCCAAAGUUCUUCAAUCCUUUCCGUCUCCAAAGCUCUCCAAAGUUAGCUACAUACGAUUCGAUUAGAAACUGGAUAUUGCAAGUUUUUUUAGGGUUUCAUUUAAUCAAAGGCCAUUGAAGGAGGACGAUUUAAUGGCGGCAGCGACGGCGCAAGGGAUGGACCCAGCGGUACUAGACAAUAUAAUCAGAUGGCCGACGGAAGUCCGGUCAGCCAAGCCAGUGAAACAAGUGCAAUUAUCUGAAUCUGAGAUCAAACAGCUUUGUGUUGCUUCGAAAGAUAUCUUCGUUCAACAACCUAAUUUACUUGAACUCGAAGCACCCAUCAAAAUUUGCGGUGACAUACAUGGGCAAUAUAGUGACUUACUAAGGCUGUUCGAGUAUGGGGGUUUUCCUCCUCAUGCUAAUUAUUUUCUGGUUCAGUAGCAGCAAAUGAUGCCAAUGUGGCUGAGAUUGGUGCGGUGAAGAUUGCUCUGUAAGUAUUUUUUAGCUAUGAACUGGAAGAUUAAUGAUUCUUUAUUUAUUGAACUUGGUUCUUUAAUUAUGUCCCAAAAAACAUCUCUAUUGGCCUGCUCAAAUUUCACUAUCUUUUCUAUUCAAAUUUUGGAUGAGUGCCCUCGUACAGGGACAAUGAUUGUUCACUGGAUAAAAAAGGUAGGUGAGAUGAAUGGUUUGUAUAAUAUUUUUUACUGAUUUUUUUUGGAGUAAUAAGCUUUAAAGCAUUUAAGAUACCUUUUUAUUUUAAUAUUUCCAUUGAUUUGCUAGAUACCUUUUUAAUAUAAUAUUUCAAUUGAAGCUAUUGAAGAGAAAAGAAAGUUAUACAAUUCUCAGAUAACAUCGUUAUCAGAAAAAUUGUCUGAGGUAAGAGUCUUAUGUUUAUCAUUGGAGAUUUUAGAACUUUAAUUGAAUUAUUGAAAAUGGCUUAAUUUUUAAUUUUGCAAGUUUUUGUUGAUCAGCAAUUUAUUUAUUUUCUGUGUGUAGUAUUUUUCUAUAUUUUUUUUAUCUUUCAUCAUGCUAUCCCUUGCACCGCAGUUAACAAAUUGCUUGUGGAAUUUGUGAUUUGCCAUAUCUUUUUCGAUCUCAUUUUGUGUCUUCCAUAACUGGAAUUGUUAUAAUACUUCUUAUCUUGUGUGGAAGACUGCAAAGGUCUCAGUCUCUUUAAUUCGUUAUCUUAUUUGAUCAGGUGCUAUUAACAGAUUCACAGAAUAUCAAGGUCACUCUCUCUCUCUCAUAUGUGAUUCUAUAGUUUGACUCUGGUGACUCAUAAUCUUGUGUGCUCUUUGAACAGGAAGUUCUUCUCUUCCCAGCCAUGAAAUCUCAGGAUGAACCAUCCACUAAAGGUUAAUUACUUCCAUUUCACACCUUCCAUUUCCCCUAAUUUCUUGAUUCUUUUUGAACUCCGAGUUUGAAUCUUGAAAUAUUGUUUGGGUUUCAUGUUUGGCUUGACCAGUGGCAUACAGUAUUCUACUAGUACUACACAUGCAAUAUCUACAAAGCUGGCUCCUAUAUUUUUUGCUUUGUCUGAGUCUGAUUAUUUUUCAUGUUUUAUUGAAUUUCUAGCAUAACACGUGAUAGUUUCAUUGUUUUAGCAGCUCCAGCAACUUAGGGAGUUGAACCUGCCGAAAUCUAACUCAUCGCCUUGAUCUACUAUGUUUGCUGUAAACCAGUGGUGAGAUCUGUCAAGUUUUUGGCGUCGAUUUUGUCUUGAAAGAAUAUUGCAGUUGACAUUCAACCCUCUUAUGUAUUUGCUAGUAUAGAUGGGUGUUUUAUCAUACACGCUAGAAGUCACGUCGCCUCCAUCCAUUGUUUAUGAUUACCUUAACUGAAUAUAAUAUAGUCAUGUCUCAUGUGGAAUGGAACCAAAAUUGAAUUCAGAACUGUGUGGAGGUGUAGUCAGGCAUUUUUCUUAGUUAAGUUGCAGCAAAUAUUUUCUGCUAUUGGGAUGUGAUUUAGAAUGGAAAUUUCUUUUUAGAAUUUUAUUUGGCUAUUACGCUUGUUUUGCUGUCUAACGAGAAGGAAGAGAGUAUUUUAGAAAACAUUGAAAAGAAUUUAAUCUCCCCUAUUCUUAUUGAAAAUGACCUUGAUAUUCUGUGAAUCUGUUAAUAGCAUAGCUAGCCUAAAAGUUUAAGUUAUUAUAUUAGUGCCUUUAUUUUGUUAUUUUUGGUUCUAAUGUCCACUUUUGCCCUUAGCUGUCUUUAUAGUUUUAUGAUCUAUUAGUUCCUCUAUUUUUUAUAUGAUAAGAGUUGCCACAUGAUUUGCUAUCUUGCUUCUAUGGGAUUUCAAGAAAAAUAUGUUGUUGAAUGUACUUGCUCUUUUAGGUUCGUACUUUAUUAUUAUGGUUAUGUUUUUUAUUCCGACUCUUUAUGAUUUAAGUACCAGUGUCCGGAACCCAUGGAUGUGGGAGAACUUGGAAAAAAAUUGAACAUACUCAUCUCAGACAUGCCUUCAUACCCAUAUCUGACAUGUCUUUAUACUGACACCUAACACUCAUACCUAAGUCCGAGUAACAUGUUUCUUUUCUUUUUCAAGUUCUAAAUUGUUUAACAAUAGGUUCUUUGUUUUCUUAGGUAGGGAUGAUGAAGAUGAUUUUGUUGCCAAGAUGAAGGCAGCUGAGGAAGCCUUGGAAGCAAAACAAAAAGUAACAAAUAGCUUGUCUACUACCUGUUCUUUUUCUUUUUAUCAUGUUUUAUAAUUUUGUGACAAAUUGUUCUUGGUACACUGAAGAUAUUUAUGGAAAAUUACCCUAUGAUUCUAUUGUAUUUA
Gossypium raimondii (Peruvian cotton) is the source of this 2875-nucleotide RNA transcript. RefSeq lists it as uncharacterized. Lineage: Eukaryota; Viridiplantae; Streptophyta; Magnoliopsida; Malvales; Malvaceae. The record is from RefSeq and is a predicted model, not a curated record. The transcript has 3 exons.